RNAcentral lists this ribosomal RNA (721 nucleotides) under Parasphingorhabdus flavimaris. RNAcentral describes it as "bacterial SSU rRNA". It matches the Rfam family "Bacterial small subunit ribosomal RNA", at positions 60 to 828 of the family's 1533-position model. The record is from RNAcentral. Lineage: Bacteria; Pseudomonadati; Pseudomonadota; Alphaproteobacteria; Sphingomonadales; Sphingorhabdaceae.
AGUCGAACGAGAUCUUCGGAUCUAGUGGCGCACGGGUGCGUAACGCGUGGGGAUCUACCAUAGGGUGCGGAAUAACUCAGAGAAAUUUGAGCUAAUACCGCAUAAUGUCUUCGGACCAAAGAUUUAUCGCCCUUUGAUGAACCCGCGUAGGAUUAGCUUGUUGGUGAGGUAAAGGCUCACCAAGGCGACGAUCUUUAGCUGGUCUGAGAGGAUGAUCAGCCACACUGGGACUGAGACACGGCCCAGACUCCUACGGGAGGCAGCAGUGGGGAAUAUUGGACAAUGGGCGAAAGCCUGAUCCAGCAAUGCCGCGUGAGUGAUGAAGGCCUUAGGGUUGUAAAGCUCUUUUACCAGGGAUGAUAAUGACAGUACCUGGAGAAUAAGCUCCGGCUAACUCCGUGCCAGCAGCCGCGGUAAUACGGAGGGAGCUAGCGUUGUUCGGAAUUACUGGGCGUAAAGCGCGCGUAGGCGGUUACUCAAGUCAGAGGUGAAAGCCCGGAGCUCAACUCCGGAACUGCCUUUGAAACUAGGUGACUAGAAUCUUGGAGAGGCGAGUGGAAUUCCGAGUGUAGAGGUGAAAUUCGUAGAUAUUCGGAAGAACACCAGUGGCGAAGGCGACUCGCUGGACAAGUAUUGACGCUGAGGUGCGAAAGCGUGGGGAGCAACAGGAUUAGAUACCCUGGUAGUCCACGCCGUAAACGAUGAUAACUAGCUGCUAGGG